RNAcentral lists this long non-coding RNA (2651 nucleotides) under Gadus morhua (Atlantic cod). RNAcentral describes it as "lncRNA (ENSGMOG00000028129.1)". The record is from RNAcentral. Lineage: Eukaryota; Metazoa; Chordata; Actinopteri; Gadiformes; Gadidae.
AUAAUAUGAAAUACAUUAACAUGCAGCCAAUGGCGGUUCUACACGGGGGCCCGUGCCCCUGUGGACAUGUCCCUGGCCCCCCCUGUGGCCCCACCGUGCUGACCAAAUAAAACAAUUAUGAAUUGAUUAUGAUUUUACACGCGAGUGCCAAAAGCGGAACUAAUGCGACGCAACGUUCUACACGGGUAAAUUAGAGCGGCGCACCCAAACGGCGCACCCAAACAUUGUUGCUGCACGUUCUACACGGGUAAAUUAGAGCGGCGCACCCAAACGGCGCACCCAAACACUGUGUUGCUGCUGCUCGGUGAAUGCGAGCUCAGCAAAUACUCCUGGAGAAAGGAGCUACGAUUUCUCCUGUUGCGAAAGUCGAAGGUAAGCAAAACGAUUUAAUCUUUUAUGUGACUUGUUGUUCUUGAUCUUCCCGUGUUAAGUAGGGAGAAAUGGUUAUGCAACGAAGUGUAAUGCAUGCCCCUACGAUUUUUUUCUUCUAAUAGCAGCUAUCAUGAAACGAGGAAAGAAUAUAGCAUCCUUUUUUGCCCCAGUAAACAAAAAAGUGAAAGAAACAGCAGUGAGAGAAACAAGUCAAGGUAUUGAGAGAGCUGAGGAGCAGGAAGAGGGAGAGUCAGAGGAGGUUGGAGAGAGGGCAUGUGAUGAACGUGAGGGCUCUGACACAGAGAGGGAAAUUUCAGAGAGUGAGAAGGAUGAAGAAGAGGGUGAGGAGGAAGAAAACAUACAGAGACAGAGAGAGAAACAGCCAGAGGUACAGCAAGUAAAUCCAUGUGGAUCAAGUACUGCAGAUAUCAGCAAGUCCAAGAAUGAUGCACCAGUACAGCCGAACUUGAAUAUAUUCCCAACCACUUUGAUGGGGGACAGAAGACGGUGCUUCAGGCAAAACUGGUAUACUCUUCAUCCAUGGCUUGAGUAUUCUGUCAUAAUGGACUCUACAUAUUGCUAUGCAUGUAGACAUUUUAGCACACCAAAGGCCCCUGACACUGUUUUUGUUUCAACCCCUGGGUUUAGAAACUGGAAAAAUGCAACUAUGAGAAAGGCAGGGUUUUCAGUUCAUGCAAAGUCUGAGCGACACAAGUGUGCGAUGAUAGCAUGGCGGGAUUAUCAAAGUGCUGUUAAAAAUGAUGCAACACUAGCAGAUAUCCUUAACAAAGAACACACUAAACAAGUACAAGAAAAUCGGGCAUACAUUAAAACAAUUGGGGAAGUGCUGUUACUUACAGCUACACAAAACAUAGCACAAAGAGGGCAUGAUGAAUCUGAAGAGUCCAAUAACAAAGGAACCCAGUCAACAUUUCCACAUGGGCCCCAUAUGGGUAUUGACAUGGGCAUGUGGGCAUGGGUUCCAUCUGGUUUUGCUCCUGGGUUCCAACCGGGGCCCACCCGUGUUAGCCCAUAUGGGCUUAUAGGGGUUCUGACUGGGUCUUAGGUGGGUUCCAAAUGGGCAAUUCUUAUAUCUGAACCACCUUUGCGCCACCUGUUUGCGCCUAUAUGGGCUUGAGCUGGGAUCUAAAGGGGCCUUAAGUGGGUUCAAGCUGGGCAACCUAUAUGCAACCCAUGUAGGCUACACCUGUGUCCGCCCAUUUAGGGUUCCAUCUGGUUUUGCUCCUAGGUUCCAACAGGGGCCCACCUGAGUUAGCCCAUAUGGGCUUUUGUGGGUUUCUGACUGGGUCUUAAGUGGGUUCCAAAUGGGCAAUUUUAUAUCUGAACCACCUUUGCGCCACCUGUGGUUGUCUGUAUGGGUUUGAACUGAGAUCUGUAUGGUCCAUGUGUGUGUUUCAGCUGGGCAAUUUAUAUGCGAUCCAUGUAGGCCACACUUGUGUUAGCAUAGAGUUUGCCCAGCUUUAACCCACUUAAGGCCCAUGCAGAUCCCAGUUCAAGCCCAUAUAGGCAAACACAGGUGGCAAAGGUGGUUCAGAUUAAAAAUUUCCCAUGUGGACCCCAUUUAAGACCCAGUCAGAAACCCCAAGAUGUAAAAAGUGCCUAAAAUUUAGCAAAUUUAAAUUUAACCAGGGUGAAAGAACAAAACAAAAAACAAUACACUGUUUAUUUUUUUAACAAAGUGCACAUCAGAACAAAAAAUAAACAAGAAAUAUAUGUACACUAUUGCUGUCAAUCUCAUAAAAAAAAAAACUAUAUAAACUCACAACACAAAAGAACCAACUUAACUGUCCUUACCAUCCCUAUAACAAAAUCAAUUCAACCUUAACGCUGAUGAAGAAAAAAUAACAGCGUCACAUAAAACAGGAUUUCCGGAUUUGCACAUGGACAGCUAAAGUGUGUGUGUGUGUGUGUGUGUGUGUGUGUGUGUGUGUGUGUGUGUGCGUGUGUGCGUGCGCGCGCGCGCGCGUGCGAGCGAGCGAGAGAUCCAAAGAUGUUGGCAGAUGACAUUCUGCCUAUUGGGGCUGUGCCCCAUUGUCCUGUAAGUUGCCAGGUGUGUUGCCAAGUGCUUUCUGAGCUCUAGCAGCCCUAUUCCCACCUCGAUCCCGGGCUCCCGUAAACCACUUGGACAGAGCCGCCUCUGCUUCUUUCUGGUUAAUGUCCUUAGUGGAUGUUUUCCUUUUGAGUGCCCCUAAAAACAAAUGACAAGAAGCCAACUUAGUAAAGCUAACUUAACUCUUUGAUCAUGAAACCUUAUGAGA